CCUACGGGAGGCAGCAGUGGGGGAUAUUGCACAAUGGGGGGAACCCUGAUGCAGCGACGCCGCGUGGGUGAAGGAGUGCUUCGGCAUGUAAAGCUCUAUCGGCAGGGAAGAAGCAAGACGGUACCUGACUAAGAAGCCCCGGCUAACUACGUGCCAGCAGCCGCGGUAAUACGUAGGGGGCGAGCGUUAUCCGGAUUUACGGGGUGUAAAGGGAGCGUAGACGGGAGUGCAAGUCUGGAGUGAAAGGCGGGGGCUCAACCCCGGGACUGCUCUGGAAACUGUACGGCUGGAGUGCAGGAGAGGUAAGUGGAAUUCCUGGUGUAGCGGUGAAAUGCGUAGAUAUUAGGAGGAACACCAGUGGCGAAGGCGAGUUACUGGACUGUAACUGACGUUGAGGCUCGAAAGCGUGGGGAGCAAACAGGAUUAGAUACCCGAGUAGUC
Molecule: ribosomal RNA, 441 nt
Filed under: uncultured bacterium
Lineage: Bacteria
Description: partial 16S ribosomal RNA
Rfam family: Bacterial small subunit ribosomal RNA
Source: RNAcentral